This 468-nucleotide ribosomal RNA is filed under the name uncultured bacterium. RNAcentral describes it as "partial 16S ribosomal RNA". It matches the Rfam family "Bacterial small subunit ribosomal RNA", at positions 28 to 507 of the family's 1533-position model. The record is from RNAcentral.
GACGAACGCUGGCGGCGUGCUUAACACAUGCAAGUCGAACGGAAAGGCCCUGCUUUUGUGGGGUGCUCGAGUGGCGAACGGGUGAGUAACACGUGAGUAACCUGCCCUUGACUUUGGGAUAACUUCAGGAAACUGGGGCUAAUAUCGGAUAGGAGCUCCUGCUGCAUGGUGGGGGUUGGAAAGUUUCGGCGGUUGGGGAUGGACUCGCGGCUUAUUAGCUUGUUGGUGGGGUAGUGGCUUACCAAGGCUUUGACGGGUAGCCGGCCUGAGAGGGUGACCGGCCACAUUGGGACUGAGAUACGGCCCAGACUCCUACGGGAGGCAGCAGUGGGGAAUAUUGCACAAUGGGCGGAAGCCUGAUGCAGCAACGCCGCGUGCGGGAUGACGGCCUUCGGGUUGUAAACCGCUUUCGCCUGUGACGAAGCGUGAGUGACGGUAAUGGGUAAAGAAGCACCGGCUAACUACGUG